UUUUUAACCCCACAUGGUGUGAUGGGAUGGUCGGAGAUAGCAUAUAGAGGAUGGGGGUAGGAUUUUGCAUAUCUGUACUGUUAAUAUGUAUCUGAAAUGGACACGAGUCUGAAUCUAUAUCUGACUGUAUUUGAGACUGUAUGUAUGUACUGUAUGCCAAUUUUUGUUGGGUUACAUACUGAGUUUAUGAAAACUCACAUCUAUUUGUCUGUUCUACUCAUGUAAUCCAUAGGCUUAGGCAGAUCGGUGCGAUGGAG
Molecule: long non-coding RNA, 257 nt
Filed under: Gossypium barbadense (sea-island cotton)
Lineage: Eukaryota; Viridiplantae; Streptophyta; Magnoliopsida; Malvales; Malvaceae
Description: long non-coding RNA (GBAR_LNC006654)
Source: RNAcentral